This 777-nucleotide long non-coding RNA is filed under the name Triticum aestivum (bread wheat). RNAcentral's name for it is "long non-coding RNA (TAES_LNC006751)". The record is from RNAcentral. Lineage: Eukaryota; Viridiplantae; Streptophyta; Magnoliopsida; Poales; Poaceae.
GCUUCCGGACCGGCUCUUCCCCGCAUCCCCUGCAGUGAACCGGACCGGCUCUUCCCCGCAUCCCCUGCAGUGAACCGGACCGGCUCGUCCCGGCGCCUCCAGUUCUCACCGACGCCAGACCGGCUUGCCCACAUUGACCUCGACCUCGACAGGCUCUUCAACAAAAGUAUGAAUUUUUUCAACCAAUUUCUCUAGUAUCUGUCAUUGCAAGUGCAGCAAAUUUUAGAAUUUGUUGUCUUUGUGUUUCAGAGUUGAUUUGAUGGACGAAUUCAGAGUAGAAGUAGAUGUUCAAAAUGACUUGAAAUGAAGUCAGAAUGCCUGCUGAAAUGUAGCCCAAUUGUGCUGAAAUGAUGUAUAUUUUGCUGUCAAAGUGUGCUGAAAUGUUUUGGAAAUCUGUUGGUUUGUUGUGGAAGUGUGUUGAAAUGCUGUCAAAAUAUGCUGAAAUGCUGAUAAGUGUGCUCAUAUGCUCAUAAAGUGUGCUGAAAUGUUGUCCAAGUGUGUUGAAAUGCUGUCCAAAUGUGCUGAAUUAUUGUCAUACUUGCUACUAAGUUGUAAGUGUAACACGUGAAGAGGUAAGGGCACAUAUGUCCUUUUUGGAUGAUGUUAGACCCAGUUAACAACUAGUGGCAUUUUGGCUACAAAAAACUGUAUUGAGUGUUAUUUUGGCAAGUUGGUUUUCACUAGUGGCAUUUUGGCAUGUUCGGUUUUCACUAGUGGUAUUUUGGCUAUUUGCUCUAUACCUUGCCAGACAUUCUGCAAUUCUGUUUUGAGUUCUAU